UGUUUUUUUUACUCUCUGGUUUUCUAAUCAUUUCUACCUUAAAUCAGUUUGUGGUCUGAUUUGUUAUAGUUUGUUUUAUCAUCAUGAUUGAAGGAUUCGUUAAAGUGACCCAAAGUCUAGCGGAAUAUGAAAGUGAUCGGGAGCGAGCUCGCAGUAAUAACAUUGACUCAAAACCAUUUAGUAGAGAGCAUCUAUCACAACGGCUAGAGACCAAUUCUUCAUUCGGACCAGACCUCGGGGAAGACGUUUGGAUGUGCGAGAAUGCUGGAUGGCCUCUACUACUUUGAUGAGCCUUCUGAUAGUACUAAAAUAACUCAGUGCUUUAGUAGUAGUAAUAGUUCUAUCUCUGUUAAAGAAUAAAUUAUGCUUUGGCAUUUUAGGCUAGGACAUCUUAGCUUCUUUUAUCUCAAACACCUAUUUCCAAAUUUGUUUAAGAGAGUUGAUUGUUCUCAGUUUCAUUGUGAAAAUUGCAUCUUUGCAAAACAUCAUCGAUCCACAUAUUUGUCAAAACCUUAUAAGUCCUCCAAAUCAUUCUAUUUAAUUCAUAGUGAUGUUUGGGGUCCUUCUAAAGUUUAAACUCAUAGUGGUAGACGGUGGUUUGUAACU
This is a non-coding RNA of Momordica charantia (bitter melon), 606 nucleotides long. Lineage: Eukaryota; Viridiplantae; Streptophyta; Magnoliopsida; Cucurbitales; Cucurbitaceae. The record is from RefSeq and is a predicted model, not a curated record.